Harpia harpyja (harpy eagle) is the source of this 289-nucleotide long non-coding RNA. RefSeq lists it as uncharacterized. NCBI's taxonomy places the organism in Eukaryota, Metazoa, Chordata, Aves, Accipitriformes, Accipitridae. The transcript has 2 exons. The record is from RefSeq and is a predicted model, not a curated record.
UCCAAAUCUCCUCUGGCAUUUGGCAGCAAUUCCCUUCUUCAGUGUGAAUGGCAGAUGUUAAGUUGUUUCAGAAAAGGGAAGGAUACAAGGUUCACCCUACAGCCUUAAAUUUCUCAAGAGGUUAAGGACACCGCAAGUAUGACUACAUUCUAUUAACGUACUGUCCUACACCUGUCAAAAAUUUACAUCUUUGGUAUGUUCACUGUAAAUGUUUAGUCUGUCUGAUUGCUGUAUUUUGUACAUCAUAAACUUUACUACUGCUAUGUAAAAUAGUAUUUUCAAAUGCUGA